RNAcentral lists this long non-coding RNA (667 nucleotides) under Phasianus colchicus (ring-necked pheasant). Its description in RNAcentral is "lncRNA (ENSPCLG00000014140.1)". Lineage: Eukaryota; Metazoa; Chordata; Aves; Galliformes; Phasianidae. The record is from RNAcentral.
GCUCUGCUCCACUUCUUCCACUCCCAGCACGUGCACAUUCAUAUGAGAGCCCUGUAUGGUAUUCUAUGGAUGUUUGUGGAUUUUAUGGAAAAAGGAGCCAGACACUCAUCAGACAGGCUGUCUCCCAUUCUCCACAUCCCAGAGCAGCUCAGGGGUGCCUGCAGCUGGGAGCUCUCAGCAGGGCUCUGUCCUGAACAAGGCAUUUGGAGGAUACCUCAGGCCUGCUGAGAGGAUGGACAUCGUCCUCACAGCCCUUGAACUGAUGGCUGACUCCAGCAUCUAUGCCAGGGAGUCAGCCUGCAGUGCGAUGGCCGUGGCCAUGGAAGACUACCCCUUCUGGAUACCAGAUAAAACCUCCAUCCACAAGAACUUGAGGAGCAUCGCCGCAAAGGCAGUGCAGCACUGCCUGAACUCCGUGCUCCUCCGUCUGACCAGCCAGAUGGCCACGGAAGUAGUCAGGAACCUGCUGAAGUCCUCUGCACCUAGCGACAGCAACACCCUAGACAUGUGGGAGGUGAUGCUCUGCAUGCCACGGACUUUGGAGAAGGUUUCGAAGAAGGUGACCAAGGGUUCACAGCUGAGCAGGCUGGUAGGAGUCACAGAAGACACGUGCAUCCUCUUCUUGGUGCUAAUGGCAAAGAGCAAAGAUAGUGAAGACUCUUGGUGA